UUGUCUUCUGCAUUAAUAAACAAUUAACAAAGCAAAAAUAAAUUUAUCGGCGGUGUGCCUGCUUUCCGUCGAGUAUCUUCCUGUUUGAGUUUUCGAUUAGGAAAAUUUUAUUUUUGUUUUGGAGUUUUGACUGUGCAAUUUAUUUUGUUGUGAUGAAGCUUACUUAUUUUAGCGAAUUGAAAUUUUUCUGCGUUAGUGAAAUUAGAUUUGUCUUGUGAAAAAUUUGAUCGAUGAAUUUUGAGUUGUUUUUUGCAGUUUAGGUACUGGGUGGGUUAGUGAAAUUAAGAUUACUGUUCGAUCCAUUUCUUCUGAUUUUGGGAGGUUUUUUGAGUUGUUUUAAGAAAUUGGGUGUUUUUCGCGUUAGUGAAAUUAGCAUUUGUGUUGUCAAAAAAUCGAUCUGUUUGAAAAUUUUGAGUUGUACUUCACAGUUUAGAUACCAAAUUAGUUAAAUUUUGGGUUAAUUUCAUUUUAAGAAAUUGAAAUUUUUUCGCAUUACUGAAAUCAGCGUUUGUGUUGUAAAAAAUUUGAUUUAUUUAAAAAUUUUGGGUUGUGCUUCCCAGUUAAUGGUAGAUUUUAUUUUUCGAAAAAUUGAUUAGCUUUUACGAUUCAAUUUCCUUGAUGGGUUUUGCUUUCGCACUCUUGCUAGUUCCUAUAAAUUGCAGUGUUGCAUAAAGUUGAUUCCUUUUCCUUGUUCAAUUUUGUUGUUGAGUUUUGUUCUUGUGCGGUUCCCUUCCAGAUUGGAUCUGUUUAAGGAAGCUUGUGGUGCUAAAUAAUGGCGGGUAGAGUUAUUUUAUGCUGGUAGCUAAGAAAAUUAUUGGGGAUAUUUACUUGUAAAGAUAUGGUGUUUGGGUGUAAUCUAAUCUCAAAAGUUAUCUUAUGAGAGUAAGAUUGCACGUAUCCAUAUAAAAAGACCGUCAAUUCAUUUUUCAAUUAUUGUGGGACUUUAAUUCACUUCAAUAAUACCAGAGUACGCUUCAUCAAAAUCUAUACUAGGAGUAACAAAAUUGAGAAAAUGGCUACUUUCUUGUUUCUUUGCAUCACUGUUUUUGCUGUUUGCACUUGUCUCUUUCACUGGUAUCUCAACUCCUUUUUUACAUCCAUAGUUUAUAUAUUUGCCUGAAGUUGUGCGCUUAGCUUUAAAGUUAAGUCUUUUAUCAUGUUCAUUAGUAAUAUGUUGCCUCAAACACGAGGGCUUUAAUGUAUCCUUUUUAACUCCAUAAUUUGUGUAUUUGUACGAGGUUGUUUGUUGAGUUCCAAAGUUAAUCGUCUUUUAUCGUGUUCGUUAGUGGGAUUUUGCUUUUAUGAUUAGAGGUUUGUGUGUUGCUUCAAAGAUGACGAAUUUAAUGUGUUCUUUUUAACUCCAUAAAUUAUGUAUUUUCAUAAAGUUGUUUGUUAUGCUUCAAAGUUAAUGAUUUUUUAUCAUGUUUAUUAGUGGUAUUUUGUGUAGACGCGUGAUUUUUGAUCCUUUCGAAUUUUG
RNAcentral lists this long non-coding RNA (1477 nucleotides) under Capsicum annuum. RNAcentral's name for it is "long non-coding RNA (CANN_LNC009655)". The record is from RNAcentral. Lineage: Eukaryota; Viridiplantae; Streptophyta; Magnoliopsida; Solanales; Solanaceae.